RNAcentral lists this ribosomal RNA (1328 nucleotides) under Habropoda radoszkowskii. RNAcentral's name for it is "16S ribosomal RNA". The stretch from base 1074 to 1233 matches the Rfam family "Archaeal large subunit ribosomal RNA", at positions 2544 to 2703 of the family's 2987-position model. Lineage: Eukaryota; Metazoa; Arthropoda; Insecta; Hymenoptera; Apidae. The record is from RNAcentral.
UUAUAAAAUAUAUUAAAAAUAAUUAUAAAUUUUAAAUAAAUAAAAUUAUACAAAAUAAAUAAUAUUAUAGUAGUAAAAACUAAAUAAUAAAUAUAUAUAUUAAUAGUUAAAUAGUAAUGUAAAUGAAAAAUUUUAAAAUUUAAGUUAAAAUAAAUAAUUUAGUACCUUUUGCAUCAGGGAUAAUUAAACUAAUGUAAUAAUUUUACAAAUCCCGAAUUCAAAUAAGCUAUAUAUAUAUGAUUAUUUUUGUUGCAAAAAAAUUAUUAAUAUAAAUAUAGAAGCUAUAUGUUAAUCGACUUUGAAUAUAUCUGGUUUUUUAAAAGUGAAUUUAAUUCUUAUUAAGAUUGAAAUAAAAUUUUAAUUAAUAAAUAAUUUUAUUAAUCUUUUAUAAAAUUUAUGGGAUAAGCUAUAAAUUUAAAUUUAUUAUUUAAUAUUUUUAAUUUAAAUAAAAAUUCUAUAUACAUAAAAUUUGUAAUUAGUUUAAAAUAUUUUAUAAUAUAAACAAAUAUUAAUAAAAAUUUAAAAUUUAAAAUAUAAAAAAAUGAAAAAAAAAUAAAACAAUCAAUUCAUUAUUGCUAUAAUGAUUAUAUAAGUAGUUAUUUAUAAUAUAUAAAAUUUUAUAAUUUAAAAUAAAUAAAUUUAAGGAACUAGGCAAAUAAUAAUAUAUUCACCUGUUUAACAAAAACACCGCCUAUAGAUAUUAAUUUUAGGUCAAUCUGCCCAAUGAGAUAUUUAAUGGCUGCGGUAUAACUGACCGUACUAAGGUAGCAUAAUCAAUUGUUUUUUAAUUGAAAACUAGAAUGAAAGAAUUAAUGAAAUAUAUACUGUCUCAAUAUUAUAUAAUAAAAUUAGAUUUUAAGUUAAAAUACUUAAAUUUAAUUGUAGGACGAUAAGACCCUAUAGAAUUUAAUAUCUUAAUAUUUAUUCAAUUAAAAAUAUAUUAAUAAAAUUUAAAUUAAGAUAUUUUACUGGGAGGGUAAUUAAAUUUAUUAAACUUUAAUUUUUAAUAAACUAAAAUUUAAGGAAAAUAAAAUGAUCUAAUAUUAUUAAAUAAAAGAAAAAAUUACCUUAGGGAUAACAGCGUAAUAUCUUUUUAGAGACCUAAUCGAUAAAGAUGUUUGCGACCUCGAUGUUGAAUUAAGAUAAAUUUUAAACGCAGAAGUUUAAUAAAUUAAGUCUGUUCGACUUUUAAAAUCUUACAUGAUUUGAGUUCAGAUCGACGUAAGUCAGAUCGGUUUCUAUCCACAAUAAAAAUAUAAUUUUUUGUACGAAAGGACUAAAAUUAUUAAUAUAGAUAUUUAUAUAAAUAAUAAUAAAAAUAAUUUUAC